RNAcentral lists this ribosomal RNA (467 nucleotides) under uncultured bacterium. RNAcentral describes it as "partial 16S ribosomal RNA". It matches the Rfam family "Bacterial small subunit ribosomal RNA", at positions 28 to 507 of the family's 1533-position model. The record is from RNAcentral.
GACGAACGCUGGCGGCGUGCUUAACACAUGCAAGUCGAACGGAAAGGCCCUGCUUUUGUGGGGUGCUCGAGUGGCGAACGGGUGAGUAACACGUGAGUAACCUGCCCUUGACUUUGGGAUAACUUCAGGAAACUGGGGCUAAUACCGGAUAGGAGCUCCUGCUGCAUGGUGGGGGUUGGAAAGUUUCGGCGGUUGGGGAUGGACUCGCAGCUUAUCAGCUUGUUGGUGGGGUAGUGGCUUACCAAGGCUUUGACGGGUAGCCGGCCUGAGAGGGUGACCGGCCACAUUGGGACUGAGAUACGGCCCAGACUCCUACGGGAGGCAGCAGUGGGGAAUAUUGCACAAUGGGCGAAGCCUGAUGCAGCAACGCCGCGUGCGGGAUGACGGCCUUCGGGUUGUAAACCGCUUUCGCCUGUGACGAAGCGUGAGUGACGGUAAUGGGUAAAGAAGCACCGGCUAACUACGUG